Molecule: small RNA, 90 nt
Filed under: Paramagnetospirillum marisnigri
Lineage: Bacteria; Pseudomonadati; Pseudomonadota; Alphaproteobacteria; Rhodospirillales; Magnetospirillaceae
Description: Magnetospirillum marisnigri Repression of heat shock gene expression (ROSE) element
Rfam family: Repression of heat shock gene expression (ROSE) element
About the family: This family represents a 5' UTR cis-regulatory element found in heat shock mRNAs and is known as the ROSE (repression of heat shock gene expression) element. The ROSE element is a negative regulator of heat shock gene expression. The secondary structure is thought to be regulated by temperature.
Source: Rfam by way of RNAcentral
GCCAGCGCCGCCAUGCGGGCUGGCUUGAGACGACGGCGAGGCCGUCAGUCCUCGUAACCAUGUUGCUCGCAGGGGAUGUGGCUAUGGGAC